This is a long non-coding RNA of Lycium ferocissimum, 1543 nucleotides long. RefSeq lists it as uncharacterized. The record is from RefSeq and is a predicted model, not a curated record. The transcript is spliced from 3 exons. Lineage: Eukaryota; Viridiplantae; Streptophyta; Magnoliopsida; Solanales; Solanaceae.
GAUUGUACUCCUACUGAACUCGCUGGUUUUGUCUGUGUGGCACACGAGUGUUCCACUCUCGCAGGCCCUAGAAUUUCAAGUCCUGUGAUGCAUCAGUAACUUUUGUAAUUUGUUGAAUUGUGUUGGCCUGUUUUAGUUACUUCUGUUUGUUUACUUAAGAUCUGCAAUAAACCUUCGCGUUUGUGAAAUAUUUUUUUGAUUGGUGAUAAUAGAUUUCUUGUCUAUGAUGAUAUCAUAUUAAAUUGCGCUUUAGUCUUCCUUUUUUUUUUUUUUUUGUGAAAAAUCUAGCAUCUGUCUACUUUGAUAAAUGGAGGACUCCAAUGUUAGAAGGCUCCCAAGGCCGGGAGGGCUAGGGGAAGGGGAAGGAAAAUAUAGACAGUCUUUACUCCUCAUUGAAGAUGCUGGUUUCAAGAUUCGAACUUUGGUCACCUAUAAAAGCUCAAAUCUUCUUCUACGUUGCUCGAAGGUUGCCUUCUUUGAUAUCAAAUUGAAUUGCCCUAUGGAUGAGGUGGUCAUGCAAUUCAACAAUUAUUUCAGAGCACCUGAAAAUUAUCUAUGCAUUUUAUUACUUUUGUUAGUAAACUGUUAUUGUUAUUUUUUACUUUGUGUUUAGUUGUCCUCUCAAAGACCUCUCAAUAAAUGAAAUUGCCGAAAGAUUUUCCUUUGAGUUAUUUGAAAGUUAUCCAACUUGAGUUAUGAGAGUAUGAAUCGUUUUUUUUUUUUUCAUCAGAAGAAAAAGAAAGACUUAAAUCUUUAAUUUAUUUGAUCAUUUUAUGGACCCAGUGUCAUUUCUUAGAUUGAAUUCCAUACAGAGACAAAACCUUUUUGGUCUUCUCUUCACUUCCUUGACCAUAGACGUUUUACUGGACUUUAAAGGUUGCUGGGUUUGCAGGAGAAGAUCAGCUAGGGCAGGCUCUGGAAGGAUGUGAUGUGAUCAUCAUUCCUGCUGGUGUGCCCCAAAAACCGGGUAUGAUCCGUGAUGAUCUGUUCAACAUUAAUGCUGGCAAUUGUUAAAUCAUAUGCACAGCUAUCGCAAAUUAUUGCCCUCAUCCACCCUGUGAACUCCACUGUGCCAACUGCCACUGAGGUGUUCAAGAAGGCUGGGAGCUAUGAUGAAAAGAGACUCUCUGGAGUCAACACACUUGAUGUGGUUCCGAACUUUCUAUGCUGGAAAAGCUAAAGUCAAUGUCUCCGGCCACUCCGAAGGCAAAUUUUGUCAGAUGAAGAAACCGUGGCACUCAUCAAGCGAACCAAGGAGGGUGGCACAGAGGUUGUGGAGGCUAAACCUGGAAAGGGUUCAGCCACCCUCUCAGUGGCGUAUGUUUCUAGUUAUGCUCUUUAUCUUAGUUUUUGAGAGUUUUCUAAAUUUCUCGGAGUUGGACGUUGGCAAGAAUAUUUUGAGAUUUUGGUGAGAGUACUUGCUUUACUGCCUACUGCUGGCUGGAACUAAAUCAUCAGACUUUGCACUACAGAUGCUCCAAUACUAGGCUAUGUUUUGAAAUAUUCUCAUAAUUCUAGUAUGCGUCAUGAUGUUAACUUGAAA